Molecule: long non-coding RNA, 6014 nt
Organism: Panthera uncia (snow leopard)
Lineage: Eukaryota; Metazoa; Chordata; Mammalia; Carnivora; Felidae
Exons: 2
Source: RefSeq, a predicted model, not a curated record
UCGAACUCAUGGACCGCGAGAUCGUGACCUGGCUGAAGUCGGACGCUUAACCGACUGCGCCACCCAGCCGCCCCAGUUUACAGAAAUAUUUUAAAUGGAAAUGUCUUUCUGAGCUGAGAGUGAGGCUGGUACUUGAGCUGUGCCUUUCCAUGUCAUCUUCAUAAAGAGUUGUUUGCUUCCCACAGCUUCGAUUAAAGUUAGGAUUUAGGUCUCCAAAAAAUGUUUAGACUUCUUCAUAGAAAUUAUGGGGAAUGGAAAUUUUCAUUUUACUUAUUCACCCUCUACCCCUAAUUUUUUUUUAACGUAACUUAGAAUAACGUUAAGUCCAUUUUUUUCUCAUUUAUUGGCCCAUGGUUUUUAAUAGAGGUUAAAGAUUUUCAUGUAGGGUCUAUCUUAUAAUUCCACAGUUGAGGAAAAAUGCUACUUGUCUCCUUUUCAGAGUUUGUUAGAGCUUCUUGAGUAGCUAGAAUAUUUUUAAGUGACUCCUAGUGUUCCUCUUAACACAUGAUAUGGUUUGACUGGAUGACAAGCAAAGAGCAAAAUAAAAAUUCGUCUGUACCAGUUUGGAAUUAAAAUGUGUGUGCGUUAAGAUAUUUUGUUAAAGAAUAGCAGAAAUAGCGGAAGCUUUUUUCUUCUCUGAAUCCUGAUUUGUAAUAAUUGGGGUGAUGAUUGAGCUAUUCAAAACCCAUCUUGGUGACUGGCUUCUUUUUAAAAAUAAAAUAAAACUGGGCUUAAAAUUUUUCUAUUGAUGAAACUUUAAUAAAUGUGGGAGUACAAGGGAGGUUUGCGCUCUCCCUUCCUUUUAAAAAAAUAGGAAUAAAAAAGAAUCUCUAUUUUACAGAUAAGAAUGUCAGCGUUUAGCUUUUAAAAAUACUUAGUUCGGUUUCUUAAGCAAUUUAAUUUCAUAUAUAUCAUCACAUCAACUUGUUACAAAAGGGUAAGACUUUCUUUCCCAUAGUAGUGACAGUAUUAAACUUGACAGUCUUGUUUUACGUUUAAUUUAUUUAUUAAAGUUAAGUGCUUUCAUCCAGUUUUAAUGCUUUUUUUAUUCCCUCUGUGGAUUUUUAAGCAAGGAAUUGCUAAACUUAAGGAAACAUUUUUAAUGCUCAAAUUUUAAUAUUUGAGAUUCUUUCGCUGCUCAAUAUAGGUAGAAGGUAGGAUUUCUAAAGGGAGCAAUGUAACUAAUUGUACCCCCAGUGCAGAUUUGUCACAGAUGCUUAAUGAUUCGUGCCAUUCCAAAAAUGAGAAUAAAAAAUCUUGAGAUCUGAAAGAAUGUGAAGGGAUUUAAAUAUUUAGGAAUGAGCUUUGUUUACGGAUUUACAGAAUUUAUUUACCUGUGGUCUGUGUAGUGUAACAAGUGUGAAAUGGCCAAGGAUAAUCAAUAGUUUCUUAGAACCUUCCUGACAGUGUAAAAACCUACUCUUUGAUACUAUCAUUGGGUGCUCAGGCAUCAAAUAACUAACCCUGGGACCUUUGUAAAAGGUAUAUAGUCACAUGCUAAAUUAGUUAAUACUGAUUGUUAUUUGUUCACCUGUCCUACCAGAUUUAGCAGGACAGAAGUGCAGGUGAGGAAGUGUUAAUGAUCAGAUGGGGAAAAGAAUCUGGAAACACUGUUUAAAAAAAAAAAAGAGGGGAAUAAUGAAGGAAAUGUGGUUUCCCCUCCCUCCUCUAGAUUAUUGCCAAUAUAUAGUUGUAUAUAAUCCUUAUUGUCUCAUGAUUUUCACCAAAAUGAAAUUUUGAAUUAUGAGUGACUAGGCCUGACCAAUCUGAGGUAGAAGAAAAGUUAUUUUUUUUAAACUAAGGCCCUGUAGUUUACUCAAGAUUCAUAAAUAUUCCCAUGAUAUUAGAAGAUGAGAACCUAAGAAAUUCUAUAGCAGGUUCUUAGUAAAAUUUUUUAGCUAUUAUUUAUUGGCUUUUAAUAUAACUAAAUUUUUUUCAUGUUAAAAUUGGUCAUGACAUAUCAGCUAGCCAGUUUAUUGACCACACUUAAAAUUUGUAGAAAAGGCUGUAAAUAUUUCAGGUGAUUUCAUGGUUGUGACUAGUUUAUAUUUCAUUAUUUAUGCAUAAGUAACAAUUCUAAAUUUCUUUAAGCAUCUCCAAAAUUAUUCCAAACUGUAGAGAAUGUAAAGACAAAGUGUUAGUAUAUCUGUGAGCCUUUGCAGAUGGAAAGACCACUUUAACCUCACUUAGAAUGCAGCACACAAGUGUUUUCUUUUUAAGGAAUUACUCUGAUAGCAGUUAUGGGUUAAGGCAGUGAAAGUAUUUCUUUUAUAAGCUUAAGAGUCUAAGAGAAGCAGCCUAUCAUACUCAAGAGGAAGGAGGCAGAACAGCUGUUUAUGUAGACUGAAAUUAAAGAAUUGGAUAAACACAGGUUUCCAAUAAGCCCUAAAGAAUGAAGUUCUUAGUACAAUAAAUAUUAUAAGCUAUUUGAGUAUUUUAAGUACACCACCCCCCCCCACCCCCCACCCCCGCUUUGGGACAUAAAAUUUGCCUAAAUGCACUAGUGUACUUUUAUGGACAUAGAUUUCCAAUUUCAUAAAGUAGUGGGAAAAUAUAUUUUGAGAGAGCUUGUUUUUUAAAGUUUAUACUAUUAUCAUAGAAACUUGAAUUUGUAUAAACUUGGCACUAUUGGUAUGGAAUUUGCAUUGCCAUAAUAUUAGAAUGGGUUACAGCUUAGCAUUUAUAUUGUGAUGUGUUCAUUUUAAUGGGCUUUCAAGUACUAAACAUAUAUGUUGAAAUUUUUUUCUUCCAUCUAUUAUGAUACUAGCUGUAUUAAAAGACUGCAAUUAUUCCUUACCUUAGGAAUUGUUCAUGUUCUGCAACGAUGUGUGCAUAUGUUUAAUAACCUUUUUUUCUUGAUUAAAAGAAUAGUACAUGGUUGUUGUAGUUAUGUACGGUGUGUAAAAUGCUGCUGUAUUUUAACACAGAUUGCUUGAAUUGGAUAUACCGUGGUACAUUCCUAGUAUUGUGGUUAGCUCUCUCGUUUUUAUUUUUGGCUGUGUCCUUCAGCUGCCACCAGAGGUACCUUGAUAAUAAAGAAUAGUUGAAAGAACCGACACCGUUUAAGCAGGUUGUACUAUGAGAACUUUCUGCCUGGCUUCUGGUUUAUAGUAGGUAAGGUAGACUGGAAGCCUGUUUAAGAUUGCUUAUAAAAAUUUGGAUAUGACUUGGUUGAGUCAUUCUGUCCAUUUUUUUUAUUUUAAUGGUUGUUGGAUCCGAAUGCAGGUUACUGAAGAAUUUGCAGAAUUUCUUGACUGGGCAGCUUUAAGAGCCGAUUCAGUGUAAUCAAGUGAAACAGGACAGAUAACAGCCCUUCUCAGUAUUUUAUUUAAGUUUUAUGUAUUUCUCCGGGGGAAAAGUUGAAGUUAUGAUUUUGUAAUAAAGAUAAGUCUCAAAGGUAGAAAAGGAUAAUCUAGCAUUUGUCCACAAAGGUUGUAGGUUGGUUUCUAAUGCACAAUUUAGUGAAAAUGGUACUUCGUACCAGCUUUUGACAAAUAAGUUACUUAAAAAUGGCAAAUAUUAAUUGAUAUGACCAUUUUUCUUUGUGAAGACUGUUAACUAUAUCAGUUCUUAGAAUGAGGAGCCUUUUUUUUGUAUUACAGUAAAAAUUCUGAAGAAUUAGUAGUUUAUUCUUCAAGUUAAGUUCACUGACAGUUACUAAUUUUACCUUUUUAGAUUGUAUCUAAAUUGUUUUCAGAGGUUAAAAUGAUAGUGACAACUUUGUAACCAGUUGUUAACAAGGGAGGUAAGAGGACUGUUUCUUAACCUUGAAUGAUUCCAUGAAGAAAUUUAUGCAGAUUUAAGUUUUCAUGAUAGAAAAACUGAAGGAUAAGCAACAAAAGAGGUAUUAGGUGUUUGUGAAACCUUAGAUAAUUAAAAAGCAAGACUUCUUUUAUUUUUUUUAAUGUUUAUUUAUUUUUGAGAGAGACAAAUGGACAGAAUGCAAAUAGGGGAGAGGUAGAGAGAGAGGGAGACACAGAACCAGGCUCCAGGCUCUGAGCUGUCAACACAGAGCCCGAAGAGGGGCUGGAACUCAUGAGCUGGGAGAUCAUGACCUGGGCCACAGUUGGCCACCCAACCAACUGAGCCACCCAGGUGCCCCAGCAAGACUUCUUUUAAAAUAGCCUAAUGUCUUUUGAAAAAAUACUCUGUCAUGUCUUAAUGUUUUAACAAACCAAAAGGAAAGUUUAGUUUUUUCCAGUAAGUUCUGUGCCAGAACUGAGAUUGAAACUUUAAAUUUUAAGAUGUUACUAAGUUAGCUUGUUUACAUUAAUUUCUAAGAAAUGGCAAUUUUCAGCACUAUUGAAUAAUUUUCAGUUGUUAUAUUUAUUUCUGAGGGAAGACUUGAAAAUCAAACAUACACAUAUUUGGACCAUAAUAUUUUUACCAUGUACUAGAAAGCUUCACAUAAGCAUUUAAGAAAAAACUUAGAUUUUAAUAUAAGACUGAUUUAUACAGUUGUAAAAUUAAACAUUUUACGGUGUCACAGAGUAUUCUGAUAUGUAUGUAAACAUGAACUGUGGUCAUAUAGUGUUUCAUCUACUGCUGUUCAACAGCAUAAAUGAAUAACAUAGGAUCUGUGUUAUAGAAGGGAAAGCAGAGAGGGGAAGAUACUCUUUUCACCUUAAUGAACCAGCCUGUGUAAUGCUUCAAUUACAAGCAAAUUGGCCAUGCUUUUUUUUUUUUUUUUGAAGUACAGAAUAUGCUGCUUUUACAGUUUUCAGUGAAUGAAAAAGCCUAAAUUGCUGUCCCUGCUCCAGUCAUCUGUCCAGGAAUUUAGAGACUAUAGAGAAUUUAGAGAGAUGUGGUGAAAGACUUACAGGUAGCUAAAUGGGAAAGGUUGAUAUUGAAGGAAAAGGUAGCUAUAUGUUUCAGUUUUGUUUGCAUCUGAAAAAAUAAAUAGGCCUGGCAGCAUUUGUACAGUUCUUGAUAAGUAAAUCUUUGGACAUUAAACUCAAAGAGAAAGUUUUAAGGAAGUUGCAUGAUAGUCUUAUGGCAUAAAUGAAAAUGCGUGUGAGGUUGGGGUAAUUAUUUACAAUGAUAAUCAAGGCAUAAAUGGACAGAGAAACCGGACUGUCCCAUCCUACUUUGGUCGUAAUCAUAUAUCUGUCAGAUUAAGAAACAGUCUCUUAUUCAGUUUUAAAUCAUUUGAUUUGGAAAGUUUUGAUUUAUAUCCAACUUUUUCAGAAGCCAGUCAGUUUUCUGAUAUAGGAUAUAGUUACUGAAGGGCAUAUAUGUAUGUGUAACUGCAUAAAACAUGGAAAACUAAUAAAAUUGGUGGGAUCAAAAAAUAAAGACCAUGAUACUAAUUGUAUAAUUUUUUGUACAUUAUGAUACUUCAUGAUAAUACAGAAUAUUAAAAUGGCACAGUUGCAAAAUUACAUGUAUUAGUAAUUUAUAAGCCAAAGGGGGCAUUUUAAGAAUUUCAUGUCCUCUUUUCCCCGUAAGUUUAUCUUUGUGCUUUAUUUCAGAACAUAUGUUUCUGGUUAAGUUGGAGUGUGCAAAGAUAGUGGUCAAACAUAAUUGGGAAAAGAUGUUAAUGUUCGUGAAGAAAUUGAAGAGUUUUUUCCAAGAAUGUGGAAGAUAAAUCAAGAUAAAAGAAGGCUAAUGAAAAGUAUUAAAGAUCAGAAAAUUAAAAUUGAAUGGGGGAAAAAAUUGAACAGAAGAUUGGUCAGAUAGAAGCACUUGAAUAUUUUUUUUAAGGCUAUUUUGAAUUGUUUGAAUUGGGGAAGAAUACACGAAGUAUGAAAAAUGAAAAACUCAAUGAAGAAUGAAGAGAAGUAGAAAGCAAGAGUGAAGUAGAAUUAAAAGAAUCUGGAAGAAUGAAUGGGUCCUAGGUUAAGUAAAUGUAUGGUUUAUGUUCCAGUGUCUGUAUGAUCAAGUUGUAGAUGAAUUUGCAUGAUUACUUAGUUAAUAGAGAAUUGGUGAUCUGGUUCAAGUAGGGAAUUAUUGAGGACAGUUAGCAGUAUUAACAAUGGGUUAUUAAUGAGCUGAAAUUUUUUCUGGAGGGUGUU